This 486-nucleotide ribosomal RNA is filed under the name uncultured bacterium. Its description in RNAcentral is "partial 16S ribosomal RNA". It matches the Rfam family "Bacterial small subunit ribosomal RNA", at positions 30 to 507 of the family's 1533-position model. The record is from RNAcentral.
AUUGAACGCUGGCGGCAUGCCUUACACAUGCAAGUCGAACGGCAGCACGGGUGCUUGCACCUGGUGGCGAGUGGCGAACGGGUGAGUAAUACUUCGGAACAUGUCCUGUAGUGGGGGAUAGCCCGGCGAAAGCCGGAUUAAUACCGCAUACGAUCCACGGAUGAAAGCGGGGGACCUUCGGGCCUCGCGCUAUAGGGUUGGCCGAUGGCUGAUUAGCUAGUUGGUGGGGUAAAGGCCUACCAAGGCGACGAUCAGUAGCUGGUCUGAGAGGACGACCAGCCACACUGGGACUGAGACACGGCCCAGACUCCUACGGGAGGCAGCAGUGGGGAAUUUUGGACAAUGGGCGAAAGCCUGAUCCAGCAAUGCCGCGUGUGUGAAGAAGGCCUUCGGGUUGUAAAGCACUUUUGUCCGGAAAGAAAUCCUUGACUCUAAUACAGUCGGGGGAUGACGGUACCGGAAGAAUAAGCACCGGCUAACUACGUG